Molecule: unclassified non-coding RNA, 22 nt
Filed under: Mus musculus (house mouse)
Lineage: Eukaryota; Metazoa; Chordata; Mammalia; Rodentia; Muridae
Description: oocyte_clustered_small_RNA13614
Source: RNAcentral
UGAUACGCAUUCCCCUCAGAGC